Molecule: long non-coding RNA, 1342 nt
Filed under: Pan troglodytes (chimpanzee)
Lineage: Eukaryota; Metazoa; Chordata; Mammalia; Primates; Hominidae
Description: long non-coding RNA NONPTRT010858
Source: RNAcentral
GAAAGCAGCUUGUGGGAGGCCCAGAGGGGAAGCUGGGUGAUGUGUUUGGAGACUACUGUGCUAUCUGGGUGAAAGAUGCUGGUUAUAAAGACUGUGACUUCUGCCUUGCUGAUAUUCUCUCUCCCUGGGUCAUCUCCUGUGCUUGCUUUGAUGGAAAGACCUACCAGGAAAGCCUCUUGCAAACAGCCAGCAACAAAGUGAGGUUCUCAGUCCAGUAGCUUGUGAGAAACUGUAUCAUGCUAGCAACCAUGGAGUGAGAUUGGAAGUGGAUGCUACUUCAGUUGAAUGUUGAGACGACUGCAGCCUGGGCUGACUCCUUGAUUGCAGCCCUGUUAGGGACCCUGGGCCGACACUGUAAUAACAGUCUCAUGAAGACUCUGAGGCAGAGGACCCACCUGGAUGAACUGUGCCUGAAUUGUUGACCUACAAAAACUGUGAGAUAUUAAAUAAGUAUCAUUUCAAGUUGCUAAGUUUUGCAGUAACAUGUUAUGCAGCAACAGAUAACUAACACAACAGUAUUUAUCUUUUGUAUAAUAAGCAAAACUAAAAAAACUUUUUUUUUAAAUAAGAAAGAUACAUGGGAAGGAUAAAUUAACAGCAAAAAGUGAAGAUGUAUUUGAAAAAUUAUUGUGAAGUGGAUUGAAACUGCAUGACCUGAUUGUCCUUAAUGAUGUCCAAGUAUACAAAUGUAUUUUAUUUUAGCAUAGGCAUAGCCUCAUAAACUCAUAGUAUGAGUUUUCAUACAAAUUUGCUGGAAAUUAGUAAUUCCGAUUUAUAAUAAUUCUUGAAAUAUGUAUAUUUUGAUAUUUUCUGGUGAGAUUUUGGCCAUCAGCUCUAUGAAGCAUUUGUUUUUGCAGGUAUUCUGAACCACAGAAGGCUGACUUGUUCUGCCUCAUAAUGACUUGACUUUGGUCAUUGAAAAAUGCUUGAGCUAAAGGAAGUCCGUAGUUCCUAUUUAUAUUCAGCUUUUACUAAAACACAUUUAUGGCAGAAAUUUAACAAGGAUUUAAGUCUUUGAGAAAAUUUUUUGUUUUAGAGAAUGAGGAAACUACUACACAGAGUGAUUCUUUUCUUUCACUGAAGCUCCCAAUCAAAAAUAUAUACAAUUUACAAAUUAGGCUUCAGUAUUCCUUUCAUAAGAUCUAACAACUUGCUGUGCCAUUCUAGUUGUUUGGGAAAGGGUUGGCCACACAUAAAACUAAAAGAUAAUCGGUCAACGAGCUUUUUGUGGAGCAGGCAAAAGAACCUUUCAUUUCAAAGUCUCUGAGUGAACUUGUAUGUUACAUGAAGGAGAAUAGCUUCAGUGUAAAGUAACAACCUUUUGAAAAUUCUUAACAUACAC